RNAcentral lists this ribosomal RNA (460 nucleotides) under uncultured bacterium. RNAcentral describes it as "partial 16S ribosomal RNA". It matches the Rfam family "Bacterial small subunit ribosomal RNA", at positions 30 to 507 of the family's 1533-position model. The record is from RNAcentral.
UGAACGCUGACAGAAUGCUUAACACAUGCAAGUCUUUGGCGAAGCUGUGCUUGCACAGCCUCGCCAAGGCGGACGGGUGAGUAACGCGUAAGGAACUUGCCCUGCAGUCAGGGAUAACAGACGGAAACGACUGAUAAGACCUGGUAAAGUCAGGCGGACUCAUGUCCAGCCUGAUGAAAAGAGAUGCUGCAGGAGAGCCUUGCGUCCUAUUAGCUUGUUGGUGGGGUAACGGCCCACCAAGGCGAUGAUAGGUAGCCGGCCUGAGAGGGUGGACGGCCACAAGGGGACUGAGAUACGGCCCUUACUCCUACGGGAGGCAGCAGUGGGGAAUAUUGGACAAUGGGGGCAACCCUGAUCCAGCAAUUCUGUGUGCACGAUGAAGGUUUUCGGAUUGUAAAGUGCUUUCAGCAGGGAAGAAAAAAUGACGGUACCUGCAGAAGAAGCGACGGCUAAAUACGUG